UUACUCCUACGGGGCGCAGCAGUGAGGAAUAUUGGUCAAUGGGCUAAGGCCUGAACCAGCCAAGUCGCGUGAGGGAAGACGGUCCUAUGGAUUGUAAACCUCUUUUGUCGGGGAGCAACGAGGCCACGUGUGGCCGAAGUGAGAGUACCCGAAGAAAAAGCAUCGGCUAACUCCGUGCCAGUAGCCGCGGUAAUACGGAGGAUCCAAGCGUUAUCCGGAUUUAUUGGGUUUAAAGGGUGCGUAGGCGGAUUGAUAAGUUAGAGGUGAAAUGUCCGAGCUCAACUCGGGAACUGCCUCUAAUACUG
This 305-nucleotide ribosomal RNA is filed under the name uncultured bacterium. RNAcentral's name for it is "bacterial SSU rRNA". It matches the Rfam family "Bacterial small subunit ribosomal RNA", at positions 333 to 635 of the family's 1533-position model. The record is from RNAcentral.